GUGCCUAACACAUGCAAGUCGAGCGAAGAAGUCCCUUCGGGGAUGGAUUAGCGGCGGACGGGUGAGUAACACGUGGGUAACCUGGCUCAAAGAGGGGGAUAGCCUCCCGAAAGGUUGAUUAAUACCGCAUAACCCGACACUGUGGCAUCACAGAGUCGGCAAAGGUUUACUGGUAUAGGAUGGGCCCGCGUCCCAUUAGCUAGUUGGUGAGGUAAGAGCUCACCAAGGCGACGAUGGGUAGCCGAUCUGAGAGGAUGACCGGCCACAUUGGAACUGAGAUACGGUCCAGACUCCUACGGGAGGCAGCAGUGGGGAAUAUUGCGCAAUGGGGGGAACCCUGACGCAGCAACGCCGCGUGAGUGAUGAAGGUCUUCGGAUCGUAAAGCUCUGUCAUCAGGGAAGAAAAAAAUGACGGUACCUGAUGAGGAAGCCACGGCUAACUACGUGCCAGCAGCCGCGGUAAUACGUAGGUGGCAAGCGUUGUCCGGAAUUAUUGGGCGUAAAGGGUGCGUAGGCGGCAUAUUAAGUCAGAUGUGAAAAUCCGGGGCUCAACUCCGGACGUGCAUUUGAAACUAGUAAGCUAGAGUACAGGAGAGGGAAGCGGAAUUCCUAGUGUAGCGGUGAAAUGCGUAGAUAUUAGGAAGAACACCAGUGGCGAAGGCGGCUUCCUGGACUGUAACUGACGCUGAGGCACGAAAGCGUGGGGAGCAAACAGGAUUAGAUACCCUGGUAGUCCACGCCGUAAACUAUGAGUGCUAGGUGUAGGGGAUAUCAUGUCUUCUGUGCCGCAGUAAACGCAAUAAGCACUCCGCCUGGGGAGUACGGUCGCAAGACUAAAACUCAAAGGAAUUGACGGGGGCCCGCACAAGCAGCGGAGCAUGAGGUUUAAUUCGAAGCAACGCGAAGAACCUUACCAGGACUUGACAUCGUCUGCAUAUCCUAGAGAUAGGAGAAACCCUUUUAGGGCAGAUAGACAGGUGGUGCAUGGUUGUCGUCAGCUCGUGUCGUGAGAUGUUGGGUUAAGUCCCGCAACGAGCGCAACCCUUGUUAUUAGUUGCUACCAUUAAGUUGAGCACUCUAAUAAGACUGCCAAGGAUAACUUGGAGGAAGGUGGGGAUGACGUCAAAUCAUCAUGCCCCUUAUGUCCUGGGCAACACACGUGCUACAAUGGCUACUACAGAGAGAAGCGAGACUGCAAAGUGGAGCGAAUCUAAAAAAGUAGUCCCAGUUCGGAUUGUAGGCUGCAACUCGCCUACAUGAAGCCGGAGUUGCUAGUAAUCGCGAAUCAGCAUGUCGCGGUGAAUACGUUCCCGGGCCUUGUACACACCGCCCGUCACACCAUGAGAGUCAGCAACACCCGAAGCCUGUGAGGUAACCUUAAUGGGGCCAGCA
This 1392-nucleotide ribosomal RNA is filed under the name uncultured bacterium. RNAcentral's name for it is "bacterial SSU rRNA". It matches the Rfam family "Bacterial small subunit ribosomal RNA". The record is from RNAcentral.